GACGUAGGAUGCAAGCGUUGUCCGGAAUUAUUGGGCGUAAAGAGUUCGUAGGCGGUUUUUUAAGUCUGAUGUUAAAUACUGGCGCUCAACGCCAGCAUGGCAUUGGAAACUGGGAGACUAGAGUGCGGUAGAGGUCACGGGAAUUCCUGGUGUAGCGGUGAAAUGCGUAGAUAUCAGGAGGAACACCGGUGGCGAAAGCGCGUGACUGGGCCGUAACUGACGCUGAGGAACGAAAGCCAGGGUAGCAAAA
RNAcentral lists this ribosomal RNA (250 nucleotides) under uncultured bacterium. RNAcentral's name for it is "partial 16S ribosomal RNA". It matches the Rfam family "Bacterial small subunit ribosomal RNA", at positions 524 to 773 of the family's 1533-position model. The record is from RNAcentral.